This 89-nucleotide transfer RNA is filed under the name Dactylosporangium sucinum. RNAcentral's name for it is "tRNA-Ala". Lineage: Bacteria; Bacillati; Actinomycetota; Actinomycetes; Micromonosporales; Micromonosporaceae. The record is from RNAcentral.
CGACCAGGUCGGUGAUGCCGUUGAGCCGGGUCGCGUAGCGGGCGACGACCGCGUCAUACCAGCCCGUGCGCCGCUCGCGGCCGGUCGUC